Molecule: non-coding RNA, 95 nt
Organism: Mycena floridula
Lineage: Eukaryota; Fungi; Basidiomycota; Agaricomycetes; Agaricales; Mycenaceae
Source: the annotation of a GenBank genome assembly
GCUGAUAUGGUGUAAGGGUAGCACAUCGUGAAAAUGUCCACUCGAUGAAGGAACACUUUAUCACGGAGGAGUGGGUUCGACUCCCAUUAUCGGCU